CUCAACCCGGGAAAUGCAUUGGAAACCCCAUGUCUUGAGGGCCAGAGAGGCAGGCGCAAUUCGUGGUGUAGCGGUGAAAUGCGUAGAUAUCACGAGGAACAUCAGUGGUGUAGACGGCCUGCUGGAUGGACCCUGACGCUGAGGCACGAAAGCGUGGGGAGCAAACGGGAUUAGAUACCCCGGUAGUCCACGCUGUAAACGCUGGGCAUUAGGUGUAGGGGCAUCAUAGGCUCCUGUGCCGUAGCUAACGCAUUAAAUGCCCCGCCUGGGGAGUACGGCCGCAAGGUUGAAACUCAAAGGAAUUGACGGGGGCCCGCACAAGCGGUGGAGCACGUGGUUUAAUUGGAUGAAAAGCCAAGAACCUUACCAGGCUUUGACAUGUCAGUAGUAAGGAACCUGAAAAGGAUCCUGAGUCCUGCUUGCAGGACAGC
RNAcentral lists this ribosomal RNA (431 nucleotides) under uncultured bacterium. RNAcentral's name for it is "partial 16S ribosomal RNA". It matches the Rfam family "Bacterial small subunit ribosomal RNA", at positions 608 to 1036 of the family's 1533-position model. The record is from RNAcentral.